RNAcentral lists this signal recognition particle RNA (315 nucleotides) under Candidatus Methanoflexus mossambicus. Its description in RNAcentral is "signal recognition particle sRNA". It matches the Rfam family "Archaeal signal recognition particle RNA". Lineage: Archaea; Methanobacteriati; Methanobacteriota; Methanobacteria; Methanobacteriales; Methanobacteriaceae. The record is from RNAcentral.
AUAAUGGCUAGACUGGAGGGUUAGGGGUCCUCUGUAAGCACACACCCCCUUUGGUGCGGUUGAAGUUUUAGGGGCGAGUUUGGAAUUAGGUUUUGGCCUUAAAAAAUAACAUAGAAGCUUCGUCCUACAAGAUCAGUGGUCAUAUAGUUCUAACUGGAGGGUUAGAAUUAAAUAUGUUUAUUUUAUGGAAUGUGUUAGGCCUGGAAAGGAGCAGCUCUACUAAUAACAUCUGAUGUUUGUGGGGUCACGGGGUGGAGUUAGGUUUUGAGAUAACUAAAACCUAUGAACUUUCUCCACCCUUUAACAUGCUAUUUU